This 497-nucleotide ribosomal RNA is filed under the name uncultured bacterium. RNAcentral describes it as "partial 16S ribosomal RNA". It matches the Rfam family "Bacterial small subunit ribosomal RNA", at positions 28 to 507 of the family's 1533-position model. The record is from RNAcentral.
GAUGAACGCUGGCGGCGUGCCUAAUACAUGCAAGUCGAGCGAACAGACGAGGCGCUUGCUCCGCGGACGUUAGCGGCGGACGGGUGAGUAACACGUGGAUAACCUACCUAUAAGACGGGUAAAACUUCGGGAAACCGGAGCUAAUACCGGAUAAGAUAUUGAACCGCAUGGUUCAAUAGUGAAAGACGGUGUUGGUGUCAGGAAUAGAUGGAUCCGCGCCGCGUUAGCUAGUUGGUCAGUUAACGGCUUACCAAGGCAACGAGGCGUAGGCGACCUGAGAGGGUGAUCGCCCACCCUAGAAGUGAGCCGCGGUCCAGGCUCCUGCGAGAGGCCGCAGUAGCGAAUCUUCCGCAGUGGGCGGAAGCCUGACGGAGCGGCGCCGCGUGUGUUAUAACGGUCUUCGGAUCGUAAAGCUCUCUUAUUGGUGAAAAACCACUUUGUAAGUAACUGUACCCGUAUUGACGGUACCUAGUCAGAAAGCCCCGGCUAACUACGUG